This 73-nucleotide transfer RNA is filed under the name Spodoptera frugiperda (fall armyworm). Its description in RNAcentral is "tRNA-Sup (CTA) (tRNA-Sup-CTA-1-1)". It matches the Rfam family "tRNA". From Rfam's summary of the family: Transfer RNA (tRNA) molecules are approximately 80 nucleotides in length. Their secondary structure includes four short double-helical elements and three loops (D, anti-codon, and T loops). The record is from RNAcentral. Lineage: Eukaryota; Metazoa; Arthropoda; Insecta; Lepidoptera; Noctuidae. RNAcentral also lists the same sequence under 1 other name.
GGGGGUGUAACUCAGUGGUUAGAGUUUCUGCUUCUAAUGCUGAAAGUCCUGGGUUCAAAUCCCAGCACCUCCA